This 208-nucleotide ribosomal RNA is filed under the name uncultured bacterium. RNAcentral describes it as "partial 16S ribosomal RNA". It matches the Rfam family "Bacterial small subunit ribosomal RNA", at positions 568 to 774 of the family's 1533-position model. The record is from RNAcentral.
UGCGCAGGCGGCCUGAUAAGUCAGGGGUGAAAUAUGUCGGCUCAACCGGCAAACUGCCCCUGAAACUGCCAGGCUUGAGUCCGGGAGAGGAUGGUGGAAUUCCUGGUGUAGCGGUGAAAUGCGUAAAAUAUCAGGAGGAACACCAAUGGCGAAGGCAGCCAUCUGGCCCGGUACUGACGCUCAGGCACGAAAGCUAGGGGAGCGAACA